AUUGAACGCUGGCGGCAUGCCUUACACAUGCAAGUCGAACGGUAACAGGUUAAGCUGACGAGUGGCGAACGGGUGAGUAAUAUAUCGGAACGUGCCCAGUCGUGGGGGAUAACGUAGCGAAAGCUACGCUAAUACCGCAUACGAUCUACGGAUGAAAGCGGGGGAUCGCAAGACCUCGCGCGAUUGGAGCGGCCGAUAUCAGAUUAGCUAGUUGGUGGGGUAAAAGCUCACCAAGGCGACGAUCUGUAGCUGGUCUGAGAGGACGACCAGCCACACUGGAACUGAGACACGGUCCAGACUCCUACGGGAGGCAGCAGUGGGGAAUUUUGGACAAUGGGCGCAAGCCUGAUCCAGCAAUGCCGCGUGCAGGAUGAAGGCCUUCGGGUUGUAAACUGCUUUUGUACAGAACGAAAAGGUUUCUACUAAUACUAGGAGCUCAUGACGGUACUGUAAGAAUAAGCACCGGCUAACUACGUGCCAGCCGCCGCAGUAA
Molecule: ribosomal RNA, 493 nt
Filed under: uncultured bacterium
Lineage: Bacteria
Description: partial 16S ribosomal RNA
Rfam family: Bacterial small subunit ribosomal RNA
Source: RNAcentral